UACGUAGGGGGCUAGCGUUGUCCGGAUUUAUUGGGCGUAAAGCGCGCGCAGGCGGUUUCUUAAGUCUGAUGUGAAAUCUCGCGGCUCAACCGUGAGCGGUCAUUGGAAACUGGGAAACUUGAGUGCAGAAGAGAAGAGCGGAAUUCCACGUGUAGCGGUGAAAUGCGUAGAGAUGUGGAGGAACACCAGUGGCGAAGGCGGCUCUUUGGUCUGUAACUGACGCUGAGGCGCGAAAGCGUGGGGAGCGAACAGG
RNAcentral lists this ribosomal RNA (253 nucleotides) under uncultured bacterium. RNAcentral's name for it is "partial 16S ribosomal RNA". It matches the Rfam family "Bacterial small subunit ribosomal RNA", at positions 524 to 776 of the family's 1533-position model. The record is from RNAcentral.